Molecule: long non-coding RNA, 714 nt
Organism: Bolinopsis microptera
Lineage: Eukaryota; Metazoa; Ctenophora; Tentaculata; Lobata; Bolinopsidae
Exons: 5
Source: RefSeq, a predicted model, not a curated record
AAUAGAUUGGUUACAGAGCUGCUCCCCUUGAACAUUUGUACAUUUCUUUAGUUUUCUCAACAAAGUGUACCCUAUUCUCCUAGUUUCUUGUCAUUUCUCCUAUUCUUCCUACGAUGUCCCGGAGCCUACUGCUGAUCACGCUGUGCCUCAUUUUAUUAAUGCUGGUUAAUCCAGGACUAUCAAAGAAAAACAAAAAAAGGAGAAACAAAAACAGAUAUGAUAAUCUGACAACCUGCUCAGGACAUCAACUACGGGGCAUGACCUGCGAGUGUUUAGCUUCCAACUAUAAUAUGAGGGGGUGUCCUGAUGAUUUAAAAAAAGGUUCCAAACAGUGCAUCCACUAUGAAACCUACUGCAAAAGCUCUAAACUAUCAGCAGCAAAACAGGGUAAAAUGUGUUGUCAAGCUAUCCUUUGCAAUAUCAACCUUAAAAACUGUUGAUUUGACGAGUUGGGAAUAUAAACGGUAGUGGAAGUACUGUGGAAGUACUACCAAUACCAUAACUUCAUAAUGUAGCAAUGUUGAGUUAAUUACUGAUUACGUAAUUUAUAGACAAUAAUUUUGAGCCGCUUUGGAAUUUCUUGGAAGAAAAAUUACAUAAUCGAGAUCCUGAUCAAUGAUGAUUUAUUCACAAUAACAUUUUGAAGAUUUCAUAAACGUGCGAUUUUAUAAAAGUGUUCAAUUAACAAAUAUAUACUUUGUAAAUGUAAUAUUA